GACGAACGCUGGCGGCGUGCUUAACACAUGCAAGUCGAACGGAAAGGCCCUGCUUUUGUGGGGUGCUCGAGUGGCGAACGGGUGAGUAACACGUGAGUAACCUGCCCUUGAAUUUGGGAUAACUUCAGGAAACUGGGGCUCAUACCGGAUAGGAGCUCCUGCUGCAUGGUGGGGGUUGGAAAGUUUCGGAGGUUGGGGAUGGACUCGCGGCCUAUCAGCUUGUUGGUGGGGUAGUGGCUUACCAAGGCUUUGACGGGUAGCCGGCCUGAGCGGGUGCACGGCCACAUUGGGACUGGAAUACGGCACAGACUCCUACGGGAGGCAGCAGUGCGGAAUAAUGCACAAUAGGCGGAAGCCUGAUGCAGCAACGCCGCGUCCGGGAUGACGGCCAUCGGGUUGUAAACCGAUUUCGCCUGUGACGAAGCGUGAGUGACGGUAAUGGGUAAAGAAGCACCGGCUAACUACGUG
RNAcentral lists this ribosomal RNA (468 nucleotides) under uncultured bacterium. RNAcentral's name for it is "partial 16S ribosomal RNA". It matches the Rfam family "Bacterial small subunit ribosomal RNA", at positions 28 to 507 of the family's 1533-position model. The record is from RNAcentral.